GCCCCCAAGCCUUCCGCAUCUUUUACUUGGUCAGAUGACAACCAAACCAUCCCUUGAAAGAAGAGACAUAAGGGACAGAAAUGGAGGGAAGAGAGAUGUGGAUGAAAGAUGAGACUCAGCCUAAUUCAUAUUCAGUCCUUACCAGCUUUGAGUACCUCGAAGAGAAGAAGGCCAUUUUUGUAUGCUGUCAUAAAACACCAAAAUGAAGACAACUUAUAGAAGAAAGAGUUUAUUUGGACUUACAGAUCCAGAGGGACAAGAGUCCACCAUGGCAAAUGCUGGUACCAGAGGAUGGAACACUUGGGAAGGAGUGAAAUCAUGAAGAUAGAACCCUAAUACAUGGAGCUAGUAUCCUUAUUGAAGGAGACCCCUGUGAGCUCCCUAGUCCCUUCUGUGUGAUGUUACAAAGAGAAGAAGGCUGUUGGCAAAGUGAGCCCUGGCCAGACAAUGAAUCUUCCAGGAUAUUGGCAGUAGUCUUCCUGGACCCCAGAACUGCCCUUCACCUAUGAGAAAAUGCUACCAUGCUUCAGUGAAUCCUCCUUGAAAAUGCUCUCCCACUCUCAGUCAGUGGUGCAUGUCAUUAACCCAUUCAAUGGUUCUCGAUCCAGUCAAGCUGACAGUCAAGAUUGGUCAUCACAAAUCCUCCUCUUUGUAGCCAGGAGUAGGCUGCUUCAUCCCAGGGAAGUGAUGCUGGCAAGUUGGGAGGAAGCUGGCUCAGAAGAUAAGGAGAAGCAUUAGAAGAAGGGAGCCACCUCCUUGUGAUUUUUCCCCUUUGUUAUCUAGGGCCUCUUGUGGUCCCCCCAUUGUGUACACAUGCCGUCUGCACAGGCUUUCUAACACGCUUGCUUUUUCUGUCAUUUGACCAUUUGGUUGAGUUUCUUUAUCUUAAAUCGGGUGACUUUUUUCCGCCAAAGUAGUAAUGGCUUAAAUAUUUGUGUUCUGAACCUAUUUCUGAUUCAUAGGGCAUUAAUCUACUAUACUCCAGAAUGUAAAUUAAAACUUUUGGUCAGCAUAUAAUUAUCUUGCAAUAGAGAAAAAUCUGUAACAAGUGAAAUAUGCUUGUAUGAUGACUUUAUAUACACAUAUAAAAAUACAUGUGUAUAUGUACACAUAAAUGUAUUAUUUAUCCAUACAUGUAUAUAUGUGUAUUAUAUAUACACAUAAGCACAGUGUCUAUUAUGCUAUUUAAAUGAAACCUGAAUAUUCAUUAUAGCUCUUUGUA
This is a non-coding RNA of Cricetulus griseus (Chinese hamster), 1222 nucleotides long. The record is from RefSeq and is a predicted model, not a curated record. NCBI's taxonomy places the organism in Eukaryota, Metazoa, Chordata, Mammalia, Rodentia, Cricetidae.